This 432-nucleotide ribosomal RNA is filed under the name Babesia venatorum (nom. ined.). RNAcentral describes it as "SSU rRNA". It matches the Rfam family "Eukaryotic small subunit ribosomal RNA", at positions 531 to 1013 of the family's 1831-position model. Lineage: Eukaryota; Apicomplexa; Aconoidasida; Piroplasmida; Babesiidae. The record is from RNAcentral.
CCUCACCAGAGUAACAAUUGGAGGGCAAGUCUGGUGCCAGCAGCCGCGGUAAUUCCAGCUCCAAUAGCGUAUAUUAAACUUGUUGCAGUUAAAAAGCUCGUAGUUGAAUUUCUGCGUUAUCGAGUUAUUGACUCUUGUCUUUAAUCGAUUUCGCUUUUGGGAUUUAUCCCUUUUUACUUUGAGAAAAUUAGAGUGUUUCAAGCAGACUUUUGUCUUGAAUACUUCAGCAUGGAAUAAUAGAGUAGGACUUUGGUUCUAUUUUGUUGGUUUUUGAACCUUAGUAAUGGUUAAUAGGAACGGUUGGGGGCAUUCGUAUUUAACUGUCAGAGGUGAAAUUCUUAGAUUUGUUAAAGACGAACUACUGCGAAAGCAUUUGCCAAGGACGUUUCCAUUAAUCAAGAACGAAAGUUAGGGGAUCGAAGACGAUCAGAU